UACGUAGGGGGCAAGCGUUGUCCGGAAUCAUUGGGCGUAAAGAGCGCGUAGGCGGUCCGGUAAGUCGGUUGUGAAAACUGGGGGCUCAACCCUCAGAGGCCGACCGAUACUGUCGGGCUAGAGUCCGGAAGAGGCGAGUGGAAUUCCUGGUGUAGCGGUGAAAUGCGCAGAUAUCAGGAGGAACACCAAUAGCGAAGGCAGCUCGCUGGGGACGUUACUGACACUAAGGCGCGAAAGCGUGGGGAGCGAACAGGG
This 255-nucleotide ribosomal RNA is filed under the name uncultured bacterium. RNAcentral's name for it is "partial 16S ribosomal RNA". It matches the Rfam family "Bacterial small subunit ribosomal RNA", at positions 524 to 777 of the family's 1533-position model. The record is from RNAcentral.